AAAAAGUUUGUUAACUUAAUUUUAUCAUAAAAAAUUAUUUUAAAUGUAAGUUUUAAUUCGAAUAAAAAAUAAAUUUAAAUAAUAAAAAUUAUAUAGUUGCAGUAAAAAAUAUUAUUAAUUAAGUCAUUUUAGAAAUAGUAAUUUUUAUUAGUAUAAACAAAAUUUGUGCCAGCAGUUGCGGUUAGACUAAUUAUACAAUGAUAAAAGUUCAGUUUUAGUAAGUAGAAUAAAAAAAAUUAUAAUAAAAUUUAUUAAGUGAAAUUUUAAAUUUUAGUAUAUUUUAAAAAAAUUAUAAAACUAAUAAAAUUUUAUAUUAAACUAGGAUUAGAUACCCUAUUAUAAAAAAGAUAAUUUUAAUGACUAGAUUAGUAUUAGAUAUAUUCUUGAAAAUUAAAAUAAAUGGCGGUAUUUUAGUCUAUUCAGAGGAACCUGUUCUAUAAUUGAUGAUCCACGAAUUUAUUUACUUAAUUUUUUAGUUUAUAUAUCGCCGUAUUAAGAAUAUCUUUAAAGAGAUUAAAUAUUCUAAAUUAUAAAUUAUUUAUAUAUAAUUCAGGUCAAGAUGUAGCUUAUAAUUAAGAAGAAAUGGGUUACAAUAAAAAUAUUUUUGGAAAAUUAAUAUAAUUAUUAAAUUGAAAUUGGAUUUGAUAGUAAUUUAAAAUAAAUUUUUUAAAUGAUUUAAGCUCUAAAAUAUGUACAUAUCGCCCGUCGCUUUCUCUAUAAAGAGAAAUAAGUCGUAACAAAGUAGAUGUACUGGAAAGUGUAUCUAGUAAACA
RNAcentral lists this non-coding RNA (773 nucleotides) under Curculionoidea sp. 17 KM-2017. The record is from RNAcentral. Lineage: Eukaryota; Metazoa; Arthropoda; Insecta; Coleoptera.